This 111-nucleotide ribosomal RNA is filed under the name Nonomuraea helvata. RNAcentral's name for it is "partial 16S ribosomal RNA". It matches the Rfam family "Bacterial small subunit ribosomal RNA", at positions 29 to 142 of the family's 1533-position model. The record is from RNAcentral. Lineage: Bacteria; Bacillati; Actinomycetota; Actinomycetes; Streptosporangiales; Streptosporangiaceae.
ACGAACGCUGGCGGCGUGCUUAACACAUGCAAGUCGAGCGGAAAGGCCCUUCGGGGUACUCGAGCGGCGAACGGGUGAGUAACACGUGAGCAACCUGCCCCUGACUCCUGG